Molecule: unclassified non-coding RNA, 594 nt
Filed under: Hevea brasiliensis (rubber tree)
Lineage: Eukaryota; Viridiplantae; Streptophyta; Magnoliopsida; Malpighiales; Euphorbiaceae
Source: RNAcentral
AUUGUCAUCAAUUCUUGGAAGUUGUAAGAGAAAAAUAAUUACGAUAAUUCAUGUGUCUUCAGUUAUAUGGUGCUCUCUAGAGAAGAUUAUCUCAUUACGAUACAGCAUCAGCAUCAGCAUUUCACUAAGAUUUACUGGUGGAUGCCUUCAACAACAACAUCUUCUUUGUGUGACGUCUUCCUUUUCCUCUUCUUUUUCACACUUCCCUCGUCAUUAUUUAACUUUUUAUCAUUUGUAACCACGGGCUUCUUUUUCUUCUUGAGUACUGAGAGUGGAUUUGGACCCUUAGCUUUCUUUCUCUUGCGAACUUUAUCCUUGCGCUCCACAUUUAUAUUAGUAAUCUGAUCCUCCAGGUCAGUUAUAGGAAGACGUUCUUCUUCAGAAGAUUUGGCAAACUGACUUUGAGAUGGUGAAGGGUCUUCGACAAAUGAUUCCUCCUCCAGAGCAGAGAUUAGGGGCACACAAGGUAUCACUCGAAGACUUCCACGCAAAUCACCAUCUUGAGUUUCAUCUUCUUUCUGUGACGUCUUCCUUCUCCUCUUCCUUUUCACACUUCCCUCACCAUUAUUUAACUUCUUAUCAUUUGUAACCACA